This 237-nucleotide ribosomal RNA is filed under the name uncultured bacterium. Its description in RNAcentral is "partial 16S ribosomal RNA". It matches the Rfam family "Bacterial small subunit ribosomal RNA", at positions 99 to 334 of the family's 1533-position model. The record is from RNAcentral.
CGAACGGGUGAGUAACGCGUGAGGAACCUGCCCCAAAGAGGGGGACAACAGUUGGAAACGACUGCUAAUACCGCAUAAGCCCACGGCUCGGCAUCGAGCAGAGGGAAAAGGAGCAAUCCGCUUUGAGAUGGCCUCGCGUCCGAUUAGCUAGUUGGUGAGGUAACGGCCCACCAAGGCGACGAUCGGUAGCCGGACUGAGAGGUUGAACGGCCACAUUGGGACUGAGACACGGCCCAG